RNAcentral lists this ribosomal RNA (439 nucleotides) under uncultured bacterium. Its description in RNAcentral is "bacterial SSU rRNA". It matches the Rfam family "Bacterial small subunit ribosomal RNA", at positions 958 to 1398 of the family's 1533-position model. The record is from RNAcentral.
AACGCGAAGAACCUUACCCAGGUUUGAAAUACAGAGGACGUUAUCAGAGAUGAUAAUUCCCGCAAGGGUCUCUGUACAGGUGCUGCAUGGCUGUCGUCAGCUCGUGCCGUGAGGUGUUGGGUUAAGUCCCGCAACGAGCGCAACCCUUAUCAUUAGUUGCCAACACGAAAGGUGGGGACUCUAAUGAGACUGCCUGGGUUAACCAGGAGGAAGGUGAGGAUGACGUCAAGUCCGCAUGGCCUUUAUGUCUGGGGCUACACACGUGCUACAAUGGUCGGUACAGAAGGCAGCGAAACCGUGAGGUGGAGCAAAUCCCCAAAACCGAUCCCAGUUCAGAUUGUAGUCUGCAACUCGACUACAUGAAGUUGGAAUUGCUAGUAAUGGCGUGUCAGCAACAACGCCGUGAAUACGUUCCCGGGCCUUGUACACACCGUAGUAC